AAGUCGUAACAAGGUUUCCGUAGGUGAACCUGCGGAAGGAUCAUUACCGAGAGAGGGGCUUCGCGCUCCCGGGGGUUUCGGCCCCCUACUCCUCACCCACUGUUUACCUACCUGUUGCUUUGGCGGGCCCCGGGGUUCGCCCCCGCGCUGGCUUUCGGGCCGGCGAGUGCCCGUCAGAGGCCCAUUAAAUUCUGUUCAAUCAGUGACGUCCGAGCAAAAACAUAAUAGUAAAA
This 233-nucleotide unclassified non-coding RNA is filed under the name plant metagenome. Its description in RNAcentral is "partial contains small subunit ribosomal RNA and internal transcribed spacer 1". The stretch from base 1 to 46 matches the Rfam family "Eukaryotic small subunit ribosomal RNA", at positions 1786 to 1831 of the family's 1831-position model. The record is from RNAcentral.